Long non-coding RNA from Apodemus sylvaticus (European woodmouse), 358 nucleotides. RefSeq lists it as uncharacterized. The record is from RefSeq and is a predicted model, not a curated record. The transcript is spliced from 3 exons. NCBI's taxonomy places the organism in Eukaryota, Metazoa, Chordata, Mammalia, Rodentia, Muridae.
GAGAGAGGGAGCCUGGCAGCUGCAUGAGGGAGCUGAGGAGGAGAUGCGCGCAGAUCCAGACGGCAUCAGAUGGUGUGCUGAGAGGCCCAUCUUUAUUACAUAUUGAAGUUCUAUGAAAUUAGAAGGUCCAUUAAAUAUCACUCGGCUUAGCUUCAGAAUUUUUUAAAAUGCGAAAUGCUGACUUUGCGAUCUGAGCAAAAGCCCAACAAACACCGACUAUGGGUUGUCUACAGAAACAGCGAUGAAGACGUCUGAAAAGGGAAUUUGCUUCUGUUGCUCAAUCCAAUCACAUGUUCCCCUACCCACACCGCCACCCCUCCCACACCUCCCUCCCUCAGCCCUCCCACCCCUCCCACAC